AGAGCGAACGCUGGCGGCAGGCCUAACACAUGCAAGUCGAGCGGCCGUAGCAAUACGGCAGCGGCAGACGGGAGAGUAACACGUGGGAACGCGCCCUUCGGUUCGGAAUAACUCAGGGAAACUUGGGCUAAUACCGGAUACGCCCUUACGGGGAAAGAUUUAUUGCCGAAGGAACGGCCCGCGUCCGAUUAGCUUGUUGGUGAGGUAACGGCUCACCAAGGCGACGAUCGGUAGCUGGUCUGAGAGGAUGACCAGCCUCACUGGGACUGAGACACGGCCCAGACUCCUACGGGAGGCAGCAGUGGGGAAUAUUGGACAAUGGGCGCAAGCCUGAUCCAGCCAUGCCGCGUGGGUGAUGAAGGCCCUAGGGUUGUAAAGCCCUUUCGGCGGGAAGAUAAUGACGGUACCCGCAGAAGAAGCCCCGGCUAACUUCGUGCCAGCAGCCGC
This 447-nucleotide ribosomal RNA is filed under the name uncultured bacterium. RNAcentral's name for it is "SSU rRNA". It matches the Rfam family "Bacterial small subunit ribosomal RNA", at positions 26 to 518 of the family's 1533-position model. The record is from RNAcentral.